This 1156-nucleotide ribosomal RNA is filed under the name Serratia marcescens. RNAcentral's name for it is "partial 23S ribosomal RNA". It matches the Rfam family "Bacterial large subunit ribosomal RNA", at positions 1 to 1192 of the family's 2925-position model. The record is from RNAcentral. Lineage: Bacteria; Pseudomonadati; Pseudomonadota; Gammaproteobacteria; Enterobacterales; Yersiniaceae.
GUUGUGAGGUUAAGUGACUAAGCGUACACGGUGGAUGCCUAGGCAGUCAGAGGCGAUGAAGGGCGUGCUAAUCUGCGAAAAGCGUCGGUAAGGUGAUAUGAACCGUUACAACCGGCGAUACCCGAAUGGGGAAACCCAGUGUGUUUCGACACACUAUCAUGUCAUGAAUACAUAGUGGCAUGAGGCGAACCGGGGGAACUGAAACAUCUAAGUACCCCGAGGAAAAGAAAUCAACCGAGAUUCCCCCAGUAGCGGCGAGCGAACGGGGAGGAGCCCAGAACCUGAAUCGGCUUGUGUGUUAGUGGAAGCGUCUGGAAAGUCGCGCAGUAAAGGGUGAUAGCCCCGUACACUAAAAUGCACAGGUCGUGAGUUCGAUGAGUAGGGCGGGACACGUGACAUCCUGUCUGAAUAUGGGGGGACCAUCCUCCAAGGCUAAAUACUCCUGACUGACCGAUAGUGAACCAGUACCGUGAGGGAAAGGCGAAAAGAACCCCGGCGAGGGGAGUGAAAUAGAACCUGAAACCGUGUACGUACAAGCAGUGGGAGCACCUUCGUGGUGUGACUGCGUACCUUUUGUAUAAUGGGUCAGCGACUUAUAUUUUGUAGCAAGGUUAACCGUAUAGGGGAGCCGUAGGGAAACCGAGUCUUAACUGGGCGAAUAGUUGCAAGGUAUAGACCCGAAACCCGGUGAUCUAGCCAUGGGCAGGUUGAAGGUUGGGUAACACUAACUGGAGGACCGAACCGACUAAUGUUGAAAAAUUAGCGGAUGACUUGUGGCUGGGGGUGAAAGGCCAAUCAAACCGGGAGAUAGCUGGUUCUCCCCGAAAGCUAUUUAGGUAGCGCCUCGUGAACUCAUCUUCGGGGGUAGAGCACUGUUUCGGCUAGGGGGCCAUCCCGGCUUACCAAACCGAUGCAAACUCCGAAUACCGAAGAAUGUUAUCACGGGAGACACACGGCGGGUGCUAACGUCCGUCGUGAAGAGGGAAACAACCCAGACCGCCAGCUAAGGUCCCAAAGUCAUGGUUAAGUGGGAAACGAUGUGGGAAGGCAUAGACAGCCAGGAUGUUGGCUUAGAAGCAGCCAUCAUUUAAAGAAAGCGUAAUAGCUCACUGGUCGAGUCGGCCUGCGCGGAAGAUGUAACGGGGCUAAACCAUGC